RNAcentral lists this long non-coding RNA (412 nucleotides) under Setaria viridis. RNAcentral's name for it is "long non-coding RNA (SVIR_LNC006365)". Lineage: Eukaryota; Viridiplantae; Streptophyta; Magnoliopsida; Poales; Poaceae. The record is from RNAcentral.
GAGGUUGAAGGUGGACUGAGAGAAUGAUGAGCUCACAUUGGUCCUUGGGAAUCCCGAGCACCCAAGAUGUUGCCGAGGGUACAGGGUCAUUCCGUGGAAGUACGCUUUUCGAGGUGACAUAGAAUCGUAUAGAAGCAGCAAGCGAAGAAAGGAACAUCAAUAGGAGAGUUGGCGGUGCAUGUUGAAAUCCAAUGUGCAUUCACAAGAAGUACGAAUGCAGGAGGAAAUCAAUUGUCGAUUGCCCUGGCAGUCGCCGAGUUGGCCCAAUCUGGAGCACUGCCGGAUCCAAACGUCGUCAGCCCUUCUCAACGCCUCGGGAGCUGCUGUGCUUCCACAAGAGUCCCCUAUCUGCAGACGUGAAGAUUACCCGUGGACGAGCAACGGUUCCCUGUGGAUGUCAUCACACAAUGCA